Molecule: ribosomal RNA, 254 nt
Filed under: uncultured bacterium
Lineage: Bacteria
Description: partial 16S ribosomal RNA
Rfam family: Bacterial small subunit ribosomal RNA
Source: RNAcentral
UACGUAGGGUCCGAGCGUUGUCCGGAAUUACUGGGCGUAAAGAGCUCGUAGGUGGUUUGUCGCGUUGUUCGUGAAAACUCACAGCUUAACUGUGGGCGUGCGGGCGAUACGGGCAGACUUGAGUACUGCAGGGGGAGACUGGAAUUCCUGGUGUAGCGGUGGAAUGCGCAGAUAUCAGGAGGAACACCGGUGGCGAAGGCGGGUCCCUGGACAACUCCUGACACUGAUGCACGAAAGCUAGGGGAGCAAACAGG